RNAcentral lists this ribosomal RNA (337 nucleotides) under Rhipicephalus sanguineus (brown dog tick). RNAcentral's name for it is "partial large subunit ribosomal RNA". Lineage: Eukaryota; Metazoa; Arthropoda; Arachnida; Ixodida; Ixodidae. The record is from RNAcentral.
GAAUGCUAAGAGAAUGGAAAUACAGGAAAAAACUUUUUUUAAAUUAAAAAUUGAAAUUUUUUUAAUUUGUGCAGAAACAAUUAUUAAUAUUAAGGACAAGAAGACCCUAUGAAUUUAUUAAAUUUUAUUUAAUAUGUAAUUACUAUUAGAAAAAUUUUGGCUGGGGCGGCUAAAAAAUAUUUUAAACUUUUUAAAAAUAAAAUGAUCCAUUAUUAAUGAUUAUAUGUUAAAUACUCUAGGGAUAACAGCGUUAUAUUUUUUGAUAGAUCAUAUUGACAAAAAAGUUUGCGACCUCGAUGUUGGAUUAGGAUACUUUUUUAAUGCAGAUAUUAAAAAA